GACGUAGGAGGCGAGCGUUAUCCGGAUUCACUGGGCGUAAAGCGCAUGUAGGCGGUUGUGUAAGUCCGAUGUUAAAGCCCCUGGCUCAACUGGGGGAGGUCAUUGGAGACUACUCGACUUGAGGGCAACAGAGGCACGUGGAACUCCCGGUGUAGCGGUGGAAUGCGUAGAGAUCGGGAAGAACACCGGUGGCGAAGGCGGAUCUCUGGGCCAUUACUGACGCUGAGGAGCGAAAGCGUGGGGAGCGAACAGG
RNAcentral lists this ribosomal RNA (253 nucleotides) under uncultured bacterium. RNAcentral describes it as "partial 16S ribosomal RNA". It matches the Rfam family "Bacterial small subunit ribosomal RNA", at positions 524 to 776 of the family's 1533-position model. The record is from RNAcentral.